GACGAACGCUGGCGGCGUGCUUAACACAUGCAAGUCGAACGGAAAGGCCCUGCUUUUGUGGGGUGCUCGAGUGGCGAACGGGUGAGUAACACGUGAGUAACCUGCCCUUGACUUUGGGAUAACUUCAGGAAACUGGGGCUACUACCGGAUAGGAGCUCCUGCUGCAUGGUGGGGGUUGGAAAGUUUCGGCGGUUGGGGAUGGACUGGCGGCUUAUCAGCUUGUUGGUGGGGUAGUGGCUUACCAAGGCUUUGACGGGUAGCCGGCCUGAGAGGGUGACCGGCCACAUUGGGACUGAGAGACGGCGCAGACUCCUACGGGAGGCAGCAGGGGGGAAUAUGGCACAAUGGGCGGAAGCCUGAUGCAGCAACGCCGCGGGCGGGAUGACGGCCUGCGGGUUGUAAACCGCUUUCGCCUGUGACGAAGCGUGAGUGACGGUAAUGGGUAAAGAAGCACCGGCUAACUACGUG
RNAcentral lists this ribosomal RNA (468 nucleotides) under uncultured bacterium. RNAcentral's name for it is "partial 16S ribosomal RNA". It matches the Rfam family "Bacterial small subunit ribosomal RNA", at positions 28 to 507 of the family's 1533-position model. The record is from RNAcentral.